RNAcentral lists this ribosomal RNA (476 nucleotides) under uncultured organism. Its description in RNAcentral is "partial 16S ribosomal RNA". It matches the Rfam family "Bacterial small subunit ribosomal RNA", at positions 330 to 797 of the family's 1533-position model. The record is from RNAcentral.
CGUACACUCCUACGGGAGGCAGCAGUGGGGAAUAUUGCACAAUGGGCGCAAGCCUGAUGCAGCCAUGCCGCGUGUAUGAAGAAGGCCUUCGGGUUGUAAAGUACUUUCAGCGGGGAGGAAGGCAAUACGGUUAAUAACCGUGUUGAUUGACGUUACCCGCAGAAGAAGCACCGGCUAACUCCGUGCCAGCAGCCGCGGUAAUACGGAGGGUGCAAGCGUUAAUCGGAAUUACUGGGCGUAAAGCGCACGCAGGCGGUCUGUCAAGUCGGAUGUGAAAUCCCCGGGCUCAACCUGGGAACUGCAUUCGAAACUGGCAGGCUUGAGUCUUGUAGAGGGGGGUAGAAUUCCAGGUGUAGCGGUGAAAUGCGUAGAGAUCUGGAGGAAUACCGGUGGCGAAGGCGGCCCCCUGGACAAAGACUGACGCUCAGGUGCGAAAGCGUGGGGAGCAAACAGGAUUAGAAACCCCAGUAGUCCCA